ACGGGUGAGUAAUACAUCGGAACGUGCCCAGUAGUGUGGGAUAGCCCGGCGAAAGCCGGAUUAAUACCGCAUACGACCUACGGGUGAAAGGGGGGGAUCGCAAGACCUCUCGCUAUUGGAGCGGCCGAUGUCAGAUUAGGUAGUUGGUGGGGUAAAGGCCUACCAAGCCGACGAUCUGUAGCUGGUCUGAGAGGACGAUCAGCCACACUGGGACUGAGACACGGCCCAGACUCCUACGGGAGGCAGCAGUGGGGAAUUUUGGACAAUGGGGGAAACCCUGAUCCAGCCAUGCCGCGUGCGGGAAGAAGGCCUUCGGGUUGUAAACCGCUUUUGUCAGGGAAGAAACGCUCUGAGUUAAUACCUCGGGGUAAUGACGGUACCUGAAGAAUAAGCACCGGCUAACUACGUGCCAGCAGCCGCGGUAAUACGUAGGGUGCAAGCGUUAAUCGGAAUUACUGGGCGUAAAGCGUGCGCAGGUGGUUGUGCAAGACAGAUGUGAAAUCCCCGGGCUUAACCUGGGGACUGCAUUUGUGACUGCACGGCUAGAGUGCGGCAGAGGGGGAUGGAAUUCCGCGUGUAGCAGUGAAAU
RNAcentral lists this ribosomal RNA (589 nucleotides) under uncultured bacterium. RNAcentral's name for it is "bacterial SSU rRNA". It matches the Rfam family "Bacterial small subunit ribosomal RNA", at positions 102 to 687 of the family's 1533-position model. The record is from RNAcentral.